RNAcentral lists this ribosomal RNA (497 nucleotides) under uncultured bacterium. RNAcentral's name for it is "partial 16S ribosomal RNA". It matches the Rfam family "Bacterial small subunit ribosomal RNA", at positions 28 to 507 of the family's 1533-position model. The record is from RNAcentral.
GAUGAACGCUGGCGGCGUGCCUAGUACAUGCAAGUCGAGCGAACAGACGAGGAGCUUGCUCCUCUGACGUUAGCGGCGGACGGGUGAGUAACACGUGGAUAACCUACCUAUAAGACUGGGAUAACUUCGGGAAACCGGAGCUAAUACCGGAUAAUAUAUUGAACCGCAUGGUUCAAUAGUGAAAGACGGUGUUGCUGUCACGUAUAGAUGGAUCCGCGCCGCAUUAGCUAGUUGGUAAGGUAACGGCUUACCAAGGCAACGAUGCGUAGCCGACCUGAGAGGGUGAUCGGCCACCCUGGAGCUGAGACACGGUCCAGGCUCCUACGGGAGGCAGCAGUAGGGAAUCUUCCGCAAUGGGCGAAAGCCUGGCGGAGCAACGCCGCGUGAGUGAUGAAGGUCUUCGGAUCGUAAAACUCUGUUAUUAGGGAAGAACAACUGUGUAAGUAACUAUGCACGUCUUGACGGUACCUAAUCAGAAAGCCACGGCUAACUACGUG